Telopea speciosissima is the source of this 166-nucleotide long non-coding RNA. RefSeq lists it as uncharacterized. The record is from RefSeq and is a predicted model, not a curated record. The transcript has 3 exons. NCBI's taxonomy places the organism in Eukaryota, Viridiplantae, Streptophyta, Magnoliopsida, Proteales, Proteaceae.
AGAGAAAAAAGUGAUAAGUAUCAAAGAGUUCAAGAAGCUCCUCCUCCUCCUCCUCAGCAAGGGAUCUGCUCGGUGAACCAGUGCAUGACGUGAAUGGGGGCUUUGAUCAACCUCAGCGCAAACUCCACUAACACCAUCACGCAGAAACAGCAAGGGCUUAUUCAAC